CCUACGGGAGGCAGCAGUGAGGAAUAUUGGUCAAUGGACGAGAGUCUGAACCAGCCAAGUAGCGUGAAGGAUGACUGCCCUAUGGGUUGUAAACUUCUUUUAUAUGGGAAUAAAAUGUUCCACGUGUGGCUUUUUGUAUGUACCAUAUGAAUAAGGAUCGGCUAACUCCGUGCCAGCAGCCGCGGUAAUACGGAGGAUCCGAGCGUUAUCCGGAUUUAUUGGGUUUAAAGGGAGCGUAGGUGGAUUGUUAAGUCAGUUGUGAAAGUUUGCGGCUCAACCGUAAAAUUGCAGUUGAUACUGGCAGUCUUGAGUACAGUAGAGGUGGGCGGAAUUCGUGGUGUAGCGGUGAAAUGCUUAGAUAUCACGAAGAACUCCGAUUGCGAAGGCAGCUCACUGGACUGCAACUGACACUGAGGCUCGAAAGUGUGGGUAUCAAACAGGAUUAGAUACCCUUGUAGUC
Molecule: ribosomal RNA, 460 nt
Filed under: uncultured bacterium
Lineage: Bacteria
Description: partial 16S ribosomal RNA
Rfam family: Bacterial small subunit ribosomal RNA
Source: RNAcentral